RNAcentral lists this ribosomal RNA (789 nucleotides) under Triticum aestivum (bread wheat). RNAcentral describes it as "partial small subunit ribosomal RNA". The record is from RNAcentral. Lineage: Eukaryota; Viridiplantae; Streptophyta; Magnoliopsida; Poales; Poaceae.
AUGGUAUCAGAUACUCCCGUCUUGCUCAACCCAUUUGCGCAGGACACCGAUCUCGCUUCCACUCCCAUGGCGCCCGCCGGCGACGCCGAUCCGCUCCAUGUUGUUCCCCUGGCCAACGCGCCUCCUGCUACUGGUGGUAACACCACCCCGGCUGCGCCGGUUGCUUCGGUGCCCGCACUGCCUGCCCCACCGGUGCCCGCCCUUCCCACGGCCCGUGUGGCUUCAGUUGCCGCCCCGGCGCCUACCUUCCCUUCGUCGAUCCUCCAGACGGUGGACAUCCGUCGCCACGUUCCCGUCACGCUGGACCUUCUCGCCGGCAACUACUCGCAGUGGCGCCGCCACUUCGACACCGUCAUCGACAUGUUCGGCCUUCGUGAUCACGUCGACCCCGAGGCGGUUUCUCGCCUCGACAACCUGAAGUGGCUGAUGGCUGACCACGUCGUGGUGCACUGGCUCUACACCACCAUCUCGCCGGAGCUCCUCGACGCCGUCAUGCAGCCCGACGACACCGCACUCGCAGUCUGGGCCGCCGUCGACUGCAUUUUCCGCGACAACCAGCUUGCCCGCGCGGUCUACAUCGACGCCGAGUACCACGCGCUCGUCCAGGACGACCUCACCGUCAUGCAGUACUGCACAUGCCUCAAGGCGUUCACCGAUCAGCUGCGUGAUCUUGGCCAGGGCGUGACGGAGACGCGCCAAGUCUUCCACCUGCUUCGAGGGCUCAACCACCAGUUCCACGCCGUGAUUCCUCAUAUCACGUCCCAGGUUCCGCUGCCCUCAUUCCUUUAG